UAUGUUAUUAUCCUUCUCUCUCUACAGUAUAUUAUUAUCCUUCUCUCUCUUACAUAUAUUAUUAUCCUUCUCUCUCUCUACAGUAUAUUAUUAUCCUUCUCUCUCUACAGUAUAUUAUUAUCCUUCUCUCUCUCUACAGUAUAUUAUUAUCCUUCUCUCUCUACAGUAUAUUAUUAUCCUUCUCUCUCUCUACAGUAUAUUAUUAUCCUUCUCUCUCUCUACAGUAUAUUAUUAUCCUUCUCUCUCUCUCUACAGUAUAUUAUUAUCCUUCUCUCUCUCUCUACAGUAUAUUAUUAUCCUUCUCUCUCUCUACAGUAUAUUAUUAUCCUUCUCUCUCUCUCUCUACAGUAUAUUAUUAUCCUUCUCUCUCUCUACAGUAUAUUAUUAUCCUUCUCUCUCUCUUACAUAUAUUAUUAUCCUUCUCUCUCUCUCUACAGUAUAUUAUUAUCCUUCUCUCUCUACAGUAUAUUAUUAUCCUUCUCUCUCUCUCUACAGUAUAUUAUUAUCCUUCUCUCUCUCUCUACAGUAUAUUAUUAUCCUUCUCUCUCUCUCUACAGUAUAUUAUUAUCCUUCUCUCUCUCUACAGUAUAUUAUUAUCCUUCUCUCUCUCUACAAUAUAUUAUUAUCCUUCUCUCUCUCUACAGUAUAUUAUUAUCCUU
RNAcentral lists this long non-coding RNA (659 nucleotides) under Salmo salar (Atlantic salmon). RNAcentral's name for it is "lncRNA (ENSSSAG00000122140.1)". The record is from RNAcentral. Lineage: Eukaryota; Metazoa; Chordata; Actinopteri; Salmoniformes; Salmonidae.